RNAcentral lists this transfer RNA (73 nucleotides) under Marmota monax (woodchuck). Its description in RNAcentral is "tRNA.Gly". Lineage: Eukaryota; Metazoa; Chordata; Mammalia; Rodentia; Sciuridae. The record is from RNAcentral.
GUGGGGGUGUAGCUCUGGGGGAGAGCACUGGCCUACCAUGCACAAGGCUCUGGGUUCAAUCCCCAGCCCCACA